Molecule: non-coding RNA, 30 nt
Filed under: Mus musculus (house mouse)
Lineage: Eukaryota; Metazoa; Chordata; Mammalia; Rodentia; Muridae
Source: RNAcentral
UCCAAGAUUAGCUGUACUCAAUCCAAGGCC